UGGGGAAUAUUGGACAAUGGGCGCAAGCCUGAUCCAGCCAUGCCGCGUGGGUGAAGAAGGCCUUCGGGUUGUAAAGCCCUUUUGUUGGGAAAGAAAAGCAAUCGGUUAAUAACCGGUUGUUCUGACGGUACCCAAAGAAUAAGCACCGGCUAACUUCGUGCCAGCAGCCGCGGUAAUACGAAGGGUGCAAGCGUUACUCGGAAUUACUGGGCGUAAAGCGUGCGUAGGUGGUGGUUUAAGUCCGUUGUGAAAGCCCUGGGCUCAACCUGGGAAUUGCAGUGGAUACUGGGUCACUAGAAUGUGGUAGAGGGUAGCGGAAUUCCUGGUGUAGCAGUGAAAUGCGUAGAGAUCAGGAGGAACAUCCGUGGCGAAGGCGGCUACCUGGACCAACAUUGACACUGAGGCACGAAAGCGUGGGGAGCAAACAG
This 428-nucleotide ribosomal RNA is filed under the name uncultured bacterium. Its description in RNAcentral is "bacterial SSU rRNA". It matches the Rfam family "Bacterial small subunit ribosomal RNA", at positions 355 to 775 of the family's 1533-position model. The record is from RNAcentral.